This 477-nucleotide ribosomal RNA is filed under the name uncultured Pseudomonas sp. Its description in RNAcentral is "bacterial SSU rRNA". It matches the Rfam family "Bacterial small subunit ribosomal RNA", at positions 97 to 570 of the family's 1533-position model. The record is from RNAcentral. Lineage: Bacteria; Pseudomonadati; Pseudomonadota; Gammaproteobacteria; Pseudomonadales; Pseudomonadaceae.
GGCGGACGGGUGAGUAAUGCCUAGGAAUCUGCCUGGUAGUGGGGGAUAACGUUCGGAAACGGACGCUAAUACCGCGUACGUCCUACGGGAGAAAGCAGGGGACCUUCGGGCCUUGCGCUAUCAGAUGAGCCUAGGUCGGAUUAGCUUGUUGGUGAGGUAAUGGCUCACCAAGGCAACGAUCCGUAACUGGUCUGAGAGGAUGAUCAGUCACACUGGAACUGAGACACGGUCCAGACUCCUACGGGAGGCAGCAGUGGGGAAUAUUGGACAAUGGGGGAAACCCUGAUCCAGCCAUGCCGCGUGUGUGAAGAAGGUCUUAGGAUUGUAAAGCACUUUAAGUUGGGAGGAAGGGUUGCAGCCUAAUACGCUGUAAUCUUGACGUUACCGACAGAAUAAGCACCGGCUAACUCUGUGCCAGCAGCCGCGGUAAUACAGAGGGUGCAAGCGUUAAUCGGAAUUACUGGGCGUAAAGCGCGC